GCCGGAGUGGUGGAAUUGGGAGACGCGCCGGACUCAAAAUCCGGUGGACUUUAAAGUCCGUGAGGGUUCGAAUCCCUCCUCCGGCA
This 86-nucleotide transfer RNA is filed under the name Bacillota bacterium. RNAcentral describes it as "tRNA-Leu". It matches the Rfam family "tRNA". From Rfam's summary of the family: Transfer RNA (tRNA) molecules are approximately 80 nucleotides in length. Their secondary structure includes four short double-helical elements and three loops (D, anti-codon, and T loops). Further hydrogen bonds mediate the characteristic L-shaped molecular structure. tRNAs have two regions of fundamental functional importance: the anti-codon, which is responsible for specific mRNA codon recognition, and the 3' end, to which the tRNAs corresponding amino acid is attached (by aminoacyl-tRNA synthetases). tRNAs cope with the degeneracy of the genetic code in two manners: having more than one tRNA (with a specific anti-codon) for a particular amino acid; and 'wobble' base-pairing, i.e. permitting non-standard base-pairing at the 3rd anti-codon position. The record is from RNAcentral. Lineage: Bacteria; Bacillati; Bacillota.